AAUCGGACACGCGCAGAACUUACAGGUCUUGACAUCCCGUUGACCACUGUAGAGAUAUGGUUUUCCCUUCGGGGACAACGGUGACAGGUGGUGCAUGGUUGUCGUCAGCUCGUGUCGUGAGAUGUUGGGUUAAGUCCCGCAACGAGCGCAACCCUUAUUCUUAGUUGCCAUCAUUUAGUUGGGCACUCUAAGGAGACUGCCGGUGACAAACCGGAGGAAGGUGGGGAUGACGUCAAAUCAUCAUGCCCCUUAUGACCUGGGCUACACACGUGCUACAAUGGACGAUACAAACGGUUGCCAACCCGCGAGGGGGAGCUAAUCCGAUAAAAUCGUUCUCAGUUCGGAUUGUAGGCUGCAACUCGCCUACAUGAAGCCGGAAUCGCUAGUAAUCGUGGAUCAGCAUGCCACGGUGAAUACUUCUCCCGGGCAAAU
RNAcentral lists this ribosomal RNA (432 nucleotides) under bacterium L6(2015). RNAcentral describes it as "bacterial SSU rRNA". It matches the Rfam family "Bacterial small subunit ribosomal RNA", at positions 948 to 1379 of the family's 1533-position model. The record is from RNAcentral.